GUUAGAAACCUCAAUGGAGAAAUGGUUCCUCAUCCCAGGACUGCAAACAAACAAACACCUGAAAACAUUAGUCUAAUCUGUGUCACAUGACUCUUAUCUGAGUGGUGAGACCUAAGUCAUGCCCAGACCUCAAGAUAAGGGGUGGUGUCAGGUCCUCAAGUCACCUGGCCUGGAAGGAGAAUAUAGAGUCCUAAAAGACUAUCAGGCCUGGGAGUCCUGCUGUUGGGUGAGCCCUUGAAGAAGGAGCCCUGGCUCAUUCAUUUCUGCAUCUCCGGUGCUUAGCAUAAUUCCUGGCGCACAGCAUGUAAUGGGAAAUUUGCCAAAAAAAAGAAAGCAACAGAUUAGCCGCCUGGGACUCAAGGCCCUGUCCUGGAUGAUAGUGUUCAAAGGUACAGGGACAGCUUCAGAGCCUAGAUGAUAACUCUCCUUCAUAACAUUACAGAUGCCAUGUAUGGAUGACAG
Molecule: long non-coding RNA, 462 nt
Filed under: Heterocephalus glaber (naked mole-rat)
Lineage: Eukaryota; Metazoa; Chordata; Mammalia; Rodentia; Bathyergidae
Description: lncRNA (ENSHGLG00100044894.1)
Source: RNAcentral